This 75-nucleotide transfer RNA is filed under the name Clostridia bacterium. RNAcentral's name for it is "tRNA-Glu". It matches the Rfam family "tRNA". Rfam says of the family: Transfer RNA (tRNA) molecules are approximately 80 nucleotides in length. Their secondary structure includes four short double-helical elements and three loops (D, anti-codon, and T loops). Lineage: Bacteria; Bacillati; Bacillota; Clostridia. The record is from RNAcentral.
GCCGCCAUGGUCAAGCGGUUAAGACGUCGCCCUCUCACGGCGAAAACCGGGGUUCGAGUCCCCGUGGCGGUACCA